UGGGGAAUAUUGCACAAUGGGCGCAAGCCUGAUGCAGCCAUGCCGCGUGUGUGAAGAAGGCCUUCGGGUUGUAAAGCACUUUCAGUAAGGAGGAAAGGUUAAGUGUUAAUAGCACUUAGCUGUGACGUUACUUACAGAAGAAGCACCGGCUAACUCCGUGCCAGCAGCCGCGGUAAUACGGAGGGUGCGAGCGUUAAUCGGAAUUACUGGGCGUAAAGCGUACGCAGGCGGUUUGUUAAGCGAGAUGUGAAAGCCCCGGGCUCAACCUGGGAACUGCAUUUCGAACUGGCAAACUAGAGUGUGAUAGAGGGUGGUAGAAUUUCAGGUGUAGCGGUGAAAUGCGUAGAGAUCUGAAGGAAUACCGAUGGCGAAGGCAGCCACCUGGGUCAACACUGACGCUCAUGUACGAAAGCGUGGGGAGCAAACAGGAUUAGAUACCCCCGUAGUCC
RNAcentral lists this ribosomal RNA (449 nucleotides) under uncultured prokaryote. Its description in RNAcentral is "bacterial SSU rRNA". It matches the Rfam family "Bacterial small subunit ribosomal RNA", at positions 355 to 796 of the family's 1533-position model. The record is from RNAcentral.